GGGCCCGCACAAGCGGUGGAGCAUGUGGUUUAAUUCGAUGAUACGCGAGGAACCUUACCAGGGCUUAAAUGCAGAACGACAGAGGUGGAAACACCUCCUUCUUCGGACGGUCUGCAAGGUGCUGCAUGGUUGUCGUCAGCUCGUGCUGUGAAGUGUCGGGUUAAGUCCCAUAACGAGCGCAACCCCUAUUUCUAGUUGCCAGCGGUUCGGCCGGGGACUCUAGAGAAACUGCCAGCGUAAGCUGUGAGGAAGGUGGGGAUGACGUCAAAUCAUCACGGCCCUUACGUCCUGGGCUACACACGUGCUACAAUGGUAGGGACAGAGAGUUGCCAACCCGCGAGGGUGAGCUAAUCUUCAAACCCUAUCUCAGUUCGGAUUGUCGUCUGCAACUCGACGGCAUGAAGUCGGAAUC
Molecule: ribosomal RNA, 412 nt
Filed under: uncultured bacterium
Lineage: Bacteria
Description: bacterial SSU rRNA
Rfam family: Bacterial small subunit ribosomal RNA
Source: RNAcentral